Molecule: long non-coding RNA, 683 nt
Organism: Manis pentadactyla (Chinese pangolin)
Lineage: Eukaryota; Metazoa; Chordata; Mammalia; Pholidota; Manidae
Exons: 3
Source: RefSeq, a predicted model, not a curated record
GCCCGCCCUCCCGCCCGUCCGAUUGGGCCUCUACGGGGGUGUGUGGGAGGGGCGGGGCGCACGCGGGGGACGCCGCGUAGUGGUACAGUCCACCCCCUGGCUUCCAACCCCCUCCUGGCGGUUCAAGUUUCUACGCCCGGAGGACGCGGCCUGGGCCAAUCCCUGGGCUACAGGGCGCUUUUAAAAGGCAGACAUCCUUUUCCUAAAAUUAGGGAUGAAACCAAGAAACAAGAGGACAUGGAAUUCAGGAAACGGAAUCCCAAGCCUGGCAUUGGACUUCUCAUUAGAGACCCUGGAAGCUAGAAGACCACAGAGCAAGCAAUCAGUUUCCUUAACAGUCUGUGGGAAAAGGAUUUCCCCCCUGGAUUCUAUGCCCACGGAUAGAAUCAGCCAAGUAUGAGACUGGAAUAUAAACACUUUCAGAAAUGCAAGAUCACUAAAUAAAUAAAUAAGUAAACUAAAUACCUGUUGGGCAUCCUCUAGGAAGCUUUGGGAGCACAUGCCCUCCUAGGCAGUGAGAGAAGACCCCUAGGAGGAAGGGCCCCUUACUGGGUGCAGUGAAGGGCAAGCCCUGAGGCCAGCUGGGCUCCAGCCCCCCACCCACCCACCCUCAUCAGAGGCCCCAGAGCAAAGGGCGAAGGGUUUAGCCUGGAAAGGCGCAGGGUGAACGGGGUGAGUUGCAU